This is a long non-coding RNA of Mus musculus (house mouse), 4707 nucleotides long. RefSeq annotates it as predicted gene 8493. The record is from RefSeq and is a predicted model, not a curated record. The transcript is spliced from 6 exons. NCBI's taxonomy places the organism in Eukaryota, Metazoa, Chordata, Mammalia, Rodentia, Muridae.
UCACAGCCCUGAGAUUUCCGCCCAUAAUCCAAGGCCACAAACACCUGGCGUUCAGCCACACCCACACAGUCCCAGGCCAAACCUCAGGUGCUCUGUGAAUCUCUUGACUGCCCUGACCAUGCCCCUGACUCUACUCAUAGCUGUUAGGUUCACUAUGAAUCCCUCUGACCCUGCCCAGACUCCGCCCAUAGCCCUUGGCCCCGCCCAUAAAGACUUUACCUGAUUCCUGCCUUGGCCCCGCCCUAGCCCUGCCCAAUUCCCCACAGCCCCGCCCCUAGUGCCAGGCCACACUCAUAGCCAUGGCUCCACCUCCGACCCUGUGACCCCGGCUCCUCCCCCAUGUGACUCAGAGGAUCUUCUACACAGUGAACCAGUCAUGGUCUGGGAUGAUCUUGCGGGAGGAGCUGAGGCACAGCUGCUUCCUGCAGGCCAGCCAGACAUCAACCGCAUAACAUUCGUUCUUGUUCUUCUCCUGUGAGCAUUUCUAUGUCAUCUACUGCAAGUUCUGGGAGCUCGACCUGGACGGCGACCUCGCCAUAGACUGCCAUCUCUUCCUGGAUGAUAGACUGCGUCUUCUCUCUCCGGUGCUGUCACCCAGUGAGCAGCCUGGGAGGGCGCAGCCCCUGUGCAGUGCCAGGAAGCUGGGCUAUGCUGAACUCAUGUGGUGCCUGCUCUCAGAGGAGGACAAGAUCACGUGAGGGGCGGUGCCCCAGUCAGCCAUGCCUCCUGCUUGCUCCUUACCUCGCUUCUCUGUGGUCACGCCCACCAACUCUGGCUUCACCCUGACAUGGCCACGCCUAUAGGAUGCUCUGUCUCCGCCCCCCCCCCCCCCCCCCCCGCUUGAUCCUGGCUGACUGACCCCAACCACCGAUGCUAUGACCCCCACCUCAUGAACUCUGACCCUGAUCUCAUGACCCCGCCACCGUGACCCUGCUGACCUCUGACCCCUGAUCCUGCCCACAGACACCAUGAUCUCUGACCCUUACCCCUUGCCUCCACUCCUUGACUGUGACCCCGCCCAUUGACCCGCCCCCGUGACCUCUGACCCCCCAACCCCACCCACCCCCGCAGCACUGAGUACUGGUUCCGCUGCGUGGUGGUCGAGCUCGAGUUCUAUGAGGAGCAGGCCUGGCACAUGGCCCCCCAAGGCAUGGAGCUCCUCCUUUUCUGCCACCUCACGCACCAGGUGCUCGACCUCUUCGCCCCGAGCCCAGUGAGCAGACGGCUAGGAUCCCGGCCACGGGCAACCUCUGACCCUGUGGGGGACUCCUGACCCCUAGGGUUAGCCUGUAAAUUCCAGGGUGACCUCUGACACUACCUCCCCAUUGUAAGCUCAGGUUGCUUUGUGGGUGACCCCUGACCCCAGGUGACAACACGGGCGACCCCGUGUGUGACCCCAGUUUGACCCCUUACACCAGGUGUCGUCACGGGUGACCCCAGCAGGGGCGCCCUGUGCGUGACCCUUGUGACCCCUGACCCCUAGGUCGGAUCACGCUUUGUGGCCUGAAGCGCUUGAGCCUGGCAGGUCUGUCCGACAUCAUGGAUCUCUAUGGCCUCACUAACGAUGACUGCGAUGACUUGGAGCAGCUGUGACACCCUACUGUGUGCCCGGGAACGGUGCACAUGUGCCUACAAGGGCUUCCUCCCGAGGCCGCAGGUGACAUCGGGGGCUUAGGGCAUGGCCUCCUCCCCGUGGCCUGCGGCCCUACUGUGCACAGGGCGCUGCGCGUUAUAUUUGUGGGUUUUUUUUUUUUUUUUGAAUAAAGAGUUUGAGACAUUUUUUUCACCCCGGGACACGCAGUAAGGCUCUCGGGGGUGGGCGACUCGGUGGACAGUCAGGCUGACCUCCCACGAUCCCUCAGGAGAGUGACAAGCCCACUUCCUGUUUAGGGACCCCCCCCCCCUUCCAGUGUGAGACAAGCCCACUUCCCACACUCUUCCUCUUGUUCUCAUUGACAUGCGUGUCCCGCCCACUCGUUAGCAUAAAGCUGUUCGAUAUUGUCCGGGUAUCUCCUUAGCAUAGCUCUGCUCACCUGUUAUGCUUUCGGUUUUCUCUGCAGGAAGGCCGACUCAUUAGAAUAAAGCUCAUUAGUAUGCACGGGCAUCAUUAACACAUGCCGCCUCAUUAGCAUAGCCCCACCCACUUGUUAUAAUUUUGCUUUUUCUCUGAGAACCCCCACCUCAUUUGCAUAGGGUCCAUUAGUAUGUGCGGGUCCAUUUACAUGCACACCCUGUCCCCUCAUUAGCAUACUCCUCAUUAGUAUGCAUAGACGUCAUGAACAUAACAGGGUCGGGGUCAGGUAGGUUUAGGGUUAGGGGUUCGGGUUAGGGUUAGUGUUACAUGUGCACAUGUGUACAUGUGUGUUGGGUGUUGUAUUAGUCAGGGUUCUCUAGAGUCACAGAACUUAUGGAUAGUCUCUAGAUAGUAAAGGAAUUUAUUGAUGACUUACAGUCGGCAGCCAAUUCCCAACAAUUGUUCAGUCGCAGCUAUGAAUGGAAGUCCAAGGAUCUAGCAGUUACUCAGUCUCACACAGCAAGCAGGUGAAGGAGCAAGAGCUAGACUCCCUUCUUUCAAUGUCCUUAUAUUGUCUCCAGCAGAAGGUGUAGCCCAGAUUAAAGGUGUGUUCCUUGAACUCGGAGAUUCAAUCUUCUGGAAUCCAUAGCCACUAUGGCUCAAGAUCUCCAUACCAAGAUCCAGAUAAGGAUCUCCAAGCCUCCAGAUAAGGGUCACUGCAAUGUUUUUCCAGAAGAGUGAACGAACACUUAGCAGGGCUCAGUGGUCACACACCACAAAUUGGGAAACAAAGGAGCGGUGUCAUCAAAAACCCCCUCUGACCAAAGGUCACAUGCUUGUCCUGAUGCAGUUGAGGACACAGAGGCCGGGUGAGCGGUGCCACCUUGUGGAUGAAAGAAGUCAGCGCAUCUGAGCCGUCCUCUCCCACGGGUGCCUUGGGGGCUUCACGUCUAUGAGUGGGAGGAGAGCUGAGUCACCACACCACAGAGCUCCUCUCUCAACAGAAACCCAGCCUCAGUGUUAAAGGAAGCAGACACCCGAUUUCCUGUAAGAUUAGUGCACAUCCAGAGGACUUUCAGACUCAAGAAAACGCUUGGCGACCCAGGGCCAGUGUCUUCCAUCCAGUCCAAUAGAACAAUGCCUCGAAAUAUCCACCUAAAAUUCAUGUCAGAUGUCAUGAGUCAUCCAAGCUAAUGGCAUAGUUUAUAAAAUGCCCUAGCGAGCACUUAGUUGUUUGUGGUUGCAGGACACAAAGAAGAAAGUGCGUGUCAUGGUGGUGGCCCACUGUUAGUCCAAAGUUCAGGUAGGAGGGCAGAAGCAGGUAGAUAUCAGGGAGCAGAACAUCCUGUGUACACACAUAGUUCCAGCUAAAUACAGAGACAAGUCUUUGACUACCAAAUACAAGUUUUAGUAAUUAACAUCCAAUAUGAGCAUGUCAUUGCAGAUGUGUGUCCCUUCUGAGUGCAGUGUAAGGUCAAACUUUAUCAUGCCAAGAUAACAUUCAUGAGAAAAUAAACCAGAGACACCAAGGAGAUUAGAACAGCAGUAAUAGUCUUGGAGUAAUGGCUCAGUGGUUAAGAACACUGGCAGUUGUUCCCGGGUUCCUGAGUUCAAUUUCCAGGAACCACAUGGUGGCUCACAAUUAUCUACAGUGAGAUCUGGUGCUCUCUUCUGGCCUGCAGGCAUGCAUGCAGGCAGAAUGUUGUAUAUGUAAUCUUUUAAAAACUAAAAUAAAGUAAAUAUGUUUGGAAAGCUACAUGCAUUUUAUUUAGAAAGUACAACUACACCAGGCAGUGGUGGUGCACGCCUUUAAUCCCAGCACUCGGGAGGCAGAGGCAGGCGGAUUUCUGAGUUCGAGACCAGCCUGGUCUACAGAGUGAGUUCCAGGACAGCCAGGGCUACACAGAGAAACCCUGUCUCAAAGAAAGAAAGAAAGAAAAGAGAGAGAGAGAGAGAGAGAGAGAGAGAGAGAGAGAGAGAGAGAGAGAGAGAAAGAAAAGAAGGAAAAGAAAGAAAGGAAGUAAGAAAGAAAAGAAAGAAAGAAAAAAGUACAACUGCAUCUACUGGUAAGGAUUUUUAGUCAGUGUGUAGCCUUUGGAAAGAAGUGCUCUAUCUCUUUCUUACUUGUUUUUUUUUUUUUAAAGACAGGACCUCUCUGUGUGUUUUUUUAAAGAUAUGAGUUGGAGAGGUGGCUCAGUGGUUAAGAGCACUGACUGCUCUUCCAGAGGUCCUGAGUUCAAUUCCCAGCAACCACAUGGUGUCUCACAACCAUCUGUAAUGGGACCUGACACCCUUUUCUGGUGUGUCUGAAGACAACAGUGUACUCAUAUAAGUGAAAAAUAAAUCUUAAAAUCGCAAAACAAAAUCAGGGUCUCUUAAUGUGAUCUGGAAGCCCAAAAUGCCUUGGUUUUGCUGUGUGGACCAAUCAGACAUUGAACCUACAAGGAUCCACCUAUCCUUUUGUAUUAAACAUUAAGUAUGUGUUCUCACCACAAUGCCCAGCUGUGAAUCUACCUUUUUAAGGUUGUGGUGAGCAACUUUGCUUGUCAUUUCCCAUCACUCAAUUCUCUCUAUGUAAAUGAGAGCAUUUUUGUAAUAUUUGCUUGCGGGUAAUUCUGAUUGACUGUAUGAUCCUGACACUUUUGUGGCUCCAUUUGAAAAAAGAGGAACCCAGGGUUUUCUUUGUCUCCAAA